RNAcentral lists this ribosomal RNA (253 nucleotides) under uncultured bacterium. RNAcentral's name for it is "partial 16S ribosomal RNA". It matches the Rfam family "Bacterial small subunit ribosomal RNA", at positions 524 to 776 of the family's 1533-position model. The record is from RNAcentral.
UACGAAGGGGGCUAGCGUUACUCGGAUUGACUGGGCGUAAAGGGCGCGUAGGCGGUUCGUACAGUCAGACGUGAAAUUCCUGGGCUCAACCUGGGGGCUGCGUUUGAUACGUGCGGGCUUGAGUUCGGAAGAGGGUCGUGGAAUUCCCAGUGUAGAGGUGAAAUUCGUAGAUAUUGGGAAGAACACCGGUGGCGAAGGCGGCGACCUGGUCCGAUACUGACGCUGAGACGCGAAAGCGUGGGGAGCGAACAGG